This 76-nucleotide transfer RNA is filed under the name Roseibium sp. RKSG952. RNAcentral's name for it is "tRNA-Cys". It matches the Rfam family "tRNA". Rfam says of the family: Transfer RNA (tRNA) molecules are approximately 80 nucleotides in length. Their secondary structure includes four short double-helical elements and three loops (D, anti-codon, and T loops). Lineage: Bacteria; Pseudomonadati; Pseudomonadota; Alphaproteobacteria; Hyphomicrobiales; Stappiaceae. The record is from RNAcentral.
GGUCCGGUGGCGGAGCGGUUACGCGGUGGAUUGCAAAUCCACGUCGACGUCGGUUCAAAUCCGACCCGGACCUCCA